GUGCCAGCCGCCGCGGUAAUACCGGCAGCACGAGUGAUGGCCGAUGUUAUUGGGCCUAAAGCGUUCGUAGCCCGCCGAUCAAGUCUGUCGGGAAAUCCACGCGCUCAACGUGUGGGCGUCCGGCAGGUACUGAUCGGCUUGGGGCCGGACGACCUGAGGGGUACGUCCGGGGUAGGAGUGAAAUCCUGUAAUCCCGGACGGACCGCCGGUGGCGAAAGCGCCUCAGGAGGACGGACCCGACGGUGAGGGACGAAAGCUAGGGUCACGAACCGGAUUAGAUACCCGAGUAGUCC
RNAcentral lists this ribosomal RNA (293 nucleotides) under uncultured bacterium. RNAcentral's name for it is "partial 16S ribosomal RNA". It matches the Rfam family "Archaeal small subunit ribosomal RNA", at positions 455 to 747 of the family's 1478-position model. The record is from RNAcentral.